GAUGAACGCUGGCGGCGUGCCUAACACAUGCAAGUCGAGCGAACGGACGAGAAGUUUUCUUCUAUGAUGUUGUCGCCGGACGGAUGAGUAACACGUGGAUAACCUACCUAUAAGACUGGGAUACUUUCGGGAAACCAUGUCUAAUAACGGAAAAUAUUUUGCACCUCAUGGUUCCAGAGUUAAAGACGGUCUUUCUUACACUAAUAGAUGAAUACGCGGUUCAUUAGUUAGUUGUUAAGGUAACGGCUUACCAAGGCAACGAUGCAUAGACGACCUGAGAGGGUGAUCGGCUACACUGGAAGUGAGACACGGUCCAGACUCCUAGGGGAGGCAGCGGUAGGGAAUCUUACGCAAGGGGCGAAAGCCGGACGGAGCAACGCGGCGGGAGGGAUGAAGGUCUUCUGAUCGGAAAACUCUGUUAGUAGGGAAGAACAUAUGUGUAAGUAACUGUGCAGAUCUUGACGGUACCGGAUCAGAAAGCCACGGCUAACUACGUG
RNAcentral lists this ribosomal RNA (497 nucleotides) under uncultured bacterium. Its description in RNAcentral is "partial 16S ribosomal RNA". It matches the Rfam family "Bacterial small subunit ribosomal RNA", at positions 28 to 507 of the family's 1533-position model. The record is from RNAcentral.